Molecule: ribosomal RNA, 1433 nt
Filed under: uncultured organism
Description: 16S ribosomal RNA
Rfam family: Bacterial small subunit ribosomal RNA
Source: RNAcentral
GCUUAACACAUGCAAGUCGAGGGGCAGCAUGGUCUUAGCUUGCUGAGGCUGAUGGCGACCGGCGCACGGGUGAGUAACACGUAUCCAACCUGCCGUCUACUCUUGGACAGCCUUCUGAAAGGAAGAUUAAUACAAGAUGGCAUCAUGAGUCCACAUGUUCACAUGAUUAAAGGUAUUCCGGUAGACGAUGGGGAUGCGUUCCAUUAGAUAGUAGGCGGGGUAACGGCCCACCUAGUCUUCGAUGGAUAGGGGUUCUGAGAGGAAGGUCCCCCACAUUGGAACUGAGACACGGUCCAAACUCCUACGGGAGGCAGCAGUGAGGAAUAUUGGUCAAUGGGCGAGAGCCUGAACCAGCCAAGUAGCGUGAAGGAUGACUGCCCUAUGGGUUGUAAACUUCUUUUAUAAAGGAAUAAAGUCGGGUAUGCAUACCCGUUUGCAUGUACUUUAUGAAUAAGGAUCGGCUAACUCCGUGCCAGCAGCCGCGGUAAUACGGAGGAUCCGAGCGUUAUCCGGAUUUAUUGGGUUUAAAGGGAGCGUAGAUGGAUGUUUAAGUCAGUUGUGAAAGUUUGCGGCUCAACCGUAAAAUUGCAGUUGAUACUGGAUAUCUUGAGUGCAGUUGAGGCAGGCGGAAUUCGUGGUGUAGCGGUGAAAUGCUUAGAUAUCACGAAGAACUCCGAUUGCGAAGGCAGCCUGCUAAGCUGCAACUGACAUUGAGGCUCGAAAGUGUGGGUAUCAAACAGGAUUAGAUACCCUGGUAGUCCACACGGUAAACGAUGAAUACUCGCUGUUUGCGAUAUACGGCAAGCGGCUAAGCGAAAGCGUUAAGUAUUCCACCUGGGGAGUACGCCGGCAACGGUGAAACUCAAAGGAAUUGACGGGGGCCCGCACAAGCGGAGGAACAUGUGGUUUAAUUCGAUGAUACGCGAGGAACCUUACCCGGGCUUAAAUUGCAGAUGAAUUACGGUGAAAGCCGUAAGCCGCAAGGCAUCUGUGAAGGUGCUGCAUGGUUGUCGUCAGCUCGUGCCGUGAGGUGUCGGCUUAAGUGCCAUAACGAGCGCAACCCUUGUUGUCAGUUACUAACAGGUUCCGCUGAGGACUCUGACAAGACUGCCAUCGUAAGAUGUGAGGAAGGUGGGGAUGACGUCAAAUCAGCACGGCCCUUACGUCCGGGGCUACACACGUGUUACAAUGGGGGGUACAGAGGGCCGCUACCACGCGAGUGGAUGCCAAUCCCCAAAACCUCUCUCAGUUCGGACUGGAGUCUGCAACCCGACUCCACGAAGCUGGAUUCGCUAGUAAUCGCGCAUCAGCCACGGCGCGGUGAAUACGUUCCCGGGCCUUGUACACACCGCCCGUCAAGCCAUGGGAGCCGGGGGUACCUGAAGUGCGUAACCGCGAGGAGCGCCCUAGGGUAAAACUGGUGACUGGGGCUA